UACGUAGGUGGCAAGCGUUGUCCGGAAUUAUUGGGCGUAAAGGGCGCGCAGGCGGCCUGUCAAGUCUGUCUUAAAAGUGCGGGGCUCAACCCCGUGAUGGGACGGAAACUGGCAGGCUGGAGUGUCGGAGAGGAAAGCAGAAUUCCUAGUGUAGCGGUGAAAUGCGUAGAUAUUAGGAGGAAUACCAGUGGCGAAGGCGGCUUUCUGGACUGUGUCUGACGCUGAGGAGCGAAAGCCGAGGGGAGCGAACGGG
Molecule: ribosomal RNA, 253 nt
Filed under: uncultured microorganism
Description: partial small subunit ribosomal RNA
Rfam family: Bacterial small subunit ribosomal RNA
Source: RNAcentral